Molecule: long non-coding RNA, 510 nt
Filed under: Bos taurus (domestic cattle)
Lineage: Eukaryota; Metazoa; Chordata; Mammalia; Artiodactyla; Bovidae
Description: long non-coding RNA NONBTAT006078
Source: RNAcentral
UUUAGAUAUUCAUCAUUUAGCUGACAAAGACUCAUCUCUUUUAAGUUUCCCUAAUUGGUAGAGCAUACAAGAUUUUAGUUGUCACUCUUAACCCUAGACAAGCAUGUGCAACACUGAGGAAAUUCUUGAGUCCGAACUUGCAAAGUUGGAAAAAGUAGGUAUUUUUAAAUGGUUACUGAAAUUUGUUUUGAUAACAAUGAUUUCAUCAUGUCCCUGAGACCACCUCGCUGAGAGUGAAGGGCUGAUAACUGAAUUAGAGUAUUUAAAGCCUGAAGGUUUUCACAAGGGUAUCAUGUAAACAAAAUGUUUUGUUGUUAUAAUAAGCUUUUGUUGGCAUUUAUUUGGUACAAUUAGCAGUUCUUGUGGCAUUGUCAUCCUUCAAUAAGGCAGCCAUCGGACUGGUGCUAUGAAAAUUGUAUUUCCUGACUCAUAUGCAUUUUCCAAAUAUACACACUUGUUAAAUAUUUGGCGUGGAGUAUUGGCUUUGUUCUCUACUUGAAAUCUGUUUUC